Molecule: ribosomal RNA, 329 nt
Filed under: uncultured eukaryote
Lineage: Eukaryota
Description: partial 18S ribosomal RNA
Rfam family: Eukaryotic small subunit ribosomal RNA
Source: RNAcentral
CCCUUAGAUGUUCUGGGCCGCACGCGCGCUACACUGAUGCAUUCAACGCGUCUAAAACCUGCUCUGAUAGGGGUGGGUAAUCUUUUGAAUGUGCAUCGUGAUUGGGAUAGAUGAUUGCAAUUUUUCAUCUUCAACGAGGAAUGCCUAGUAAACGCAAGUCAUCAGCUUGCAUUGAUUACGUCCCUGCCCUUUGUACACACCGCCCGUCGCUCCUACCGAUUGAAUGAUCCGAUGAAUAUCAUGGAUUGAGGAUGCAAGUAGGUUAGCCUAUCUUCAUCUUCGAGAAGUGAAGUAAAUCUUAUCAUUUAGAGGAAGGAGAAGUCGUAACA